This 231-nucleotide unclassified non-coding RNA is filed under the name plant metagenome. RNAcentral's name for it is "partial contains small subunit ribosomal RNA, internal transcribed spacer 1, and 5.8S ribosomal RNA". The record is from RNAcentral.
UCUCCGUUGGUGAACCAGCGGAGGGAUCAUUACAGAGUUGCAAAACUCCCAAACCAUUGUGAACGUUACCUAUCCCGUUGCUUCGGCGGGCGGCCCGGGCCCCGCGCCCGGCGCCCCCCGGCCCCCCGUGGGCGCCCGCCGGAGGUAAACCAAACCCUUGGAUUGCAUGGCCUCUCUGAGUCUUCUAUACUGAAUAAGUCAAAACUUUCAACAACGGAUCUCUUGGUUCUG